ACAGCAGUCGCCGCGGUAAGACAGAGGGGGCUAGCGUUGUUCGGAAUUACUGGGCGUAAAGCGCACGUAGGCUGCUUUGUAAGUCAGAGGUGAAAGCCCGGGGCUCAACCUCGGAAUUGCCUUCAAUACUGGCUGUCUUGAGUAUGAGAGAGGUGUGUGGAACUCCGAGUGUAGAGGUGAAAUUCGUAGAUAUUGGGAAGAACACCGGUGGCGAAGGCGGCGACCUGGACCUUGACUGACGCUGAGGCGCGAAAGCGUGGGGAGCAAACAGGAUUAGAUACCCCCGUAGUCCCUGUCUCUUAUAC
Molecule: ribosomal RNA, 305 nt
Filed under: uncultured bacterium
Lineage: Bacteria
Description: partial 16S ribosomal RNA
Rfam family: Bacterial small subunit ribosomal RNA
Source: RNAcentral